AUGGCCAGCCUUGAUCUCAAUGAGCUCCCCGAUGACUUUGUUGAUUGUGAUGGUGAUCCCCUGUUCUGCACACAAGCCCAACCUGGAAAAAUCCCUAUUUCAAUCGAGGGGGUGGGCGAGUCAGUAGAUUUGUGUUCUGCUCCUGUCCAAGAUGUCGUAGGUGUUGGGUUCCGUGUUGUGGCUACUAUUGUGUCUGAUGCGACGGCAACUGCUGAAACUAUCGCGGCCGCCCCUGCCAUGCUCAGCCCGGCUGCAACUAUGCCUAGCAAUGGUGGCCAAGGUCGUACGGGUAGUGUUUCCUUGUUAGGUUUUGAUGAGAACGAGGUGCGAUCUAGCCAACAAGAACCUUAUGUUGGCAUGGAGUUUGACACAGUUGAAGGUGCUAAGGCACACUACAAAGUCUCGCAGAAUUGGGUUCUCGAUGAAAGCCAACACUUCCAGGAGGUCUUCAUACACUAA
This 459-nucleotide ribosomal RNA is filed under the name Triticum aestivum (bread wheat). RNAcentral describes it as "partial small subunit ribosomal RNA". Lineage: Eukaryota; Viridiplantae; Streptophyta; Magnoliopsida; Poales; Poaceae. The record is from RNAcentral.